Molecule: small RNA, 100 nt
Filed under: Paenibacillus antarcticus
Lineage: Bacteria; Bacillati; Bacillota; Bacilli; Caryophanales; Paenibacillaceae
Description: Guanidine-I sequence
Rfam family: Guanidine-I riboswitch aptamer
About the family: This family represents a conserved RNA structure found upstream of the ykkC and yxkD genes in Bacillus subtilis and related genes in other bacteria.
Source: Rfam by way of RNAcentral
UUGAAUGUUUUCUAGGGUUCCGCGAUUUCUAAAUCGGCUGGUCCGAGAGAAAACUCACAGCCUAUAGGUUGUGUCACGGAGGGAUAAAAGCCUGGGAGAU